GGUGAGGGAUGACUGUCUGGCCAGUGGGACAGACUGCAAAACACCAGCAGAGUGGUCAGUAGGCCAACCUCUGCAACUGAGGCAAGUUACAAGAAAACAAGCCAAAUAAUCCAAACAUCUUUUUGCUGGACACCCUGAGCAAAAUGCGUGAUCAUACCUGCGGCGAUGGCAAUUGUCAGGGCGGUAAAAAGGGGCGGGCCUUUGACGUCUGGCGUAACACAAUGAGGGUCCUUGAAUAGAGGCACUGUUGUACUGAUUGGCCCAUAUCUGGCUACCGAGAGCCACUCACAGUGGUAUGUGUGUGUGUGUGUGUGUGUGUUUGUGCGUGUGCGCGUGUGUGUGUGUGUGGCGAGUGGAAAACAUUUACAGGAAGGUUACAGGCUUCGGAGAAGCAGACCCUUUGUGCUGGGAUUGCUCUGGAUGGCCGGGCUUCCUACUGGGGCUUCUGAGCAUCUGAGCAAAGACUGCCCACUGGUGAUUAUGGGUGCUUUGCUUAAAUUUCUCAGCCCUCAGGCUCUUACUAAGGAUACCCCCACUGAUGAAGGCAUCCUUUGAAGAGUCAUCUUUGUAACAGUCAAAGAGGAGAAAUCAGACAGACCAGUGACCAGUGCAUUCUCAUGAAGUGCCUGUGAAGUGGAUGAACAUGCAAUGACCUCUUGAAAUGACAAAUCCCUUUCUAGGGAAAAUUAUGAAACCCAACAUUUGAAUGAACAAAUGGCCUCUGGCACAUUUGUGCUACGUCAGCUGCAUUUUUGGAACACUUGUGUUGCAUUUGGCUGUGAUGCGUUGCUGCUGACUAUGGUCUGUUCUCUCUGCUUAGCUCAGUAAGCCGAUACUGUACACUGCAAAGACUGAGAGACUCAGGAAGAGUUUCUUCCCCCAAGCCGUCCAGUACCUAAAUGGCACUGUUUAAGCACUUUUUAUUGAGUAUACCACUGUUCCCCUGUAGAGCAUAUCACUUCUUCCCUAUCUGCAAUAACCCCCUGACAUCUUGAAUAUUGUUUCUUGUCUGUUACUGUUUUUGGUACUGUAGGUUGUUCUGUGUCAGUUUGUGUGUUUUUGCUUGGCAAGGAGCCGACUGUAACAUUUCACUGCAUUGUAUGUAUGUGACAAAUAAAAUCUGAAUCUGAA
Long non-coding RNA from Alosa alosa (allis shad), 1131 nucleotides. RefSeq lists it as uncharacterized. NCBI's taxonomy places the organism in Eukaryota, Metazoa, Chordata, Actinopteri, Clupeiformes, Clupeidae. The transcript has 3 exons. The record is from RefSeq and is a predicted model, not a curated record.